UUAAGGUGAUUCCAACUAAAUUCAGCUCACCUUGAGUUAAAUUGUUUGAAUCAAACUUAUAUUUGAUCAUCAAGAAAAUCACCAACAAACACAUUGGAGAUGUCCAUAGAGAUCCCACUUCCUUUGGGUAUCAACUUAUGACAAACACCCAAAAGACGUGUGCAGCUGCUCAAGAUUUAAAAAAGCUUACAGCAUUGUAAUAAACAUAUGUUGCAAGAGAUGAGGUUCAUCCGGAUUACAGAAGAGCUACAUAAUAAUGGGCUUUGUACUCAUAGCCUCGACACUUGUCUUGGAUUCCACAGGGUGACUUUACACCUUCCACUCGUAUUCAUUAUGAAUCAGCGGUGUUUACUCUCAUGCAUAAAAUCCAAGCCAACACUGCACAUCUUUACCUGCUGUCUAAAACAGUGGUGCAGGGCAGAAGCUUGUGGUUUCUCAUCUGUAAUGGAGUCCAUCGUAAUUCUUAAGACACUUAAUUGCUUGUUUCUUUAUGCAAGCAAAAUCCCUGCACACAAUGUACAACUUUUGUUCAGUAUCAGUCUCAAUUAUAAAUCCACAUGAGAGAGACAAUGAAAAUUGACAAAACAUAUCCAACAACAGUAUAGAUGCAAUGUGGUGUAAUGAAAUCUCUGGAGCAUUGCAGUAACAGGGAAAGGUUCAGACAGGACCAUGGACAAAUCAUUCUGGGAUUAUUUAAUUGCCAUUUCUUGUGAACAUGAAUUAUUGACAGGAAAGUCAAGCUCCUGGUUUUUGCUUUUGCCACCUUCAGCAGCGGUCUUAGAUUGACCAUCAGGCCGACUACUGUCCACACUCCACAGGAUCGAGAUUCAAGUUUAUGAUCUCCUUAGCUUCUGCCCAGCAGGUCUCAGAGGGGAAAUUCAGGUUGAAUCCAUGUUCAUCUGAGCUCUGAGGAGAAUGAUCCACCUGUAGGAAUAUGAGGGAAUGUCAGUUUCUGCUGUUAUUAAUAGUUUCAGAGGUUGUUGUACAUAAAUAACAACCUGGAUGAGGCCCCCAAGGCAUUGCCCAGAUUUAUAGCGGGAGCCUGUAGGUAAUGACAUUCUCCAGUAGUAUAUGUAAACCAAUCAGAUUCUUCAGGUGCUUUAAAAACCAACUGCAAUGUCAAGUUCCUUCCACACAGGGAAGCCAUUCCCUAGAAUCAUGUGCAUUUUAAGAACCAUUAGCAACAACUUUAUCUAAAAGACCAAAGGAAAGAUCCUAAACAAAUUUCAAUAAAACCAUACUCACAAACACAGGUGCAGGAUAUUCUUUUGGCUAUAAAUAAUUUUUUUUAAAAAAAUUAGUGCAUUUUGAUAUUAAUUAAAGGAUAAAAUCUGGAAAAGAAUUAGGCAAUCCAGUGUUUCUUAAAAAAAGAAGCUUGGAGUGAAUGAAUAUUGUAAGUGACAAUUGGAGUAACAUAGGUUUCACAAGAAGUAGUGAAUAACUCAGGAUAACUCAAAUUCAGACAUUUUUUUUUCACUUGAACCCAAGUGACAGAUGGGAUCUAACAAGAUGUAGCAAAAGAGUCAGGAUAGCCCAACUAAAAAAUUUAGAUAAAUUGUCGUCCAAAGGAAAGACAAAGGUGACUGAAGAAUAAACAAAAUACACACGACAAUGAUGGAUUGCCUUAUCUUAAAAAAAAAAGAGAAAGAGAAGUGGAUAAUGAGAGAGAAAAGAAGGCUCAGGGGAACAAUGGAAUAUUUGAGGCAUCAAAGUGUGAUGUAGGACAACCCAAGGAUUGUUGCCUACAUUCAAAAGCAAGUGGGUUAGGGUUUUUAUUUUAAGAUGUAAGGAGAGGAACAAGGAAUAAAGUUUAUGGUAAAGAAAAAAUAAAAUACAAAAAAGUAGAGAGAAAGUAAACAACAAAGAAAAUAUGGAAACAUUAAAGUUUCACUAAGGCCUUUUAGGAGUUUCACCUAGAAGAAAAUCAAUGGAGUCUCACCAUUGAAGAUUGCAACACUUGCAAUGAAAAAAACAUAAUAUUAUUAAUUUCAAUCAACUCAUUCCUUUGGUUUAGAUUGAUUAGCCUUAUUUAUAGGCUUCUCUAAAAAAUCCAAAGUUUAACAAGAUUCUAAUAACCUAUUAUGACUCUAAUUUUAAUUAUCUUAUAUCCUAAUUAGCUAAUCCUAAUUAGACUUUAACAAAUACUAAUCCUACUUUAAUUCCAACUAAUACUAAUUUUAAUUUAAUUCCAACUAUGAUCGAUCUUAAUUUAAUUCCAAGUAAUACUAAUCUUGCUUCAAUUGUAACUAAUACAAAAUCCCUUUAUUGAUGUAUAUCUUAGAGAUUCAUCAUCAUCAAAGUGUCAUCUAAUAUACUCACAACUUGAAUGAAAUGGCUAUCAAGCAUCAGUCUGCAAAGUCUUUUUUCACGAUCCUCUAAGAUAGGUAUCAGGAAUAAGGACCACAAUCAAGAAUACUGAUGUUGGAGCUGAGAGAGAAAAGAAGAAACUGAUAGGGGUUCAGCCAAAGACACAUUCAUACCUACCAUCAUCAAGAUAUCCACCCAGACAGAUUGAUCAAGUAAUUCCAUAUAGGAUGAUUUAAAUUUUCUCAGUGAGCAUAGAUAGAUAGGAUGAUCCAAUGUUGUAGUAUGUGGUUCAUAUCGAGUGAAAGACAUAUAUGGAGAAGAAGGGGCAAAUGCUGGAGUGGAACGACGACAAUUGCCAUUCAAGUUUUUAUUUUUAUUGUUAAGGACGAACGAUAGGUGGGGGGGUGCGAGGGGGCAACGCUUCCCACGGUACGGUUCAAGGGGUAUUUUUAAGAAUUUUUCAAUACCUGAGGGUUAGUAUAAAUACCCAAAUUUUUGUAACAUUAAUUUUUGGUGUAGUGAAAAGUCUUCAACCCUGCUCUAGUGGAUGUAGGCAUUCUACCGAACCACGUUAAAUCUAUGUGUUUUUUUUCUUUGUUUUCUCUAACUUCUUCAUUAGGAAUUGCUGCAGGAAUAACAACAUCCAACUUGAUUUAUUAAGCCUCACUUCCCAGAUCCAAGAAGCUAAUACUGCAUCAAUUAUAAUCAAGUUGGUCGCAUGAGUGGAAAAUAAAAUCAAUAAAACCUCAAUAAAAGCUAAGGGGAAGAUAGCAGUAUUAAUGCUCUUACAUUUUGGACUCGAACCAAGGAUAAACCCCACAGCCAUCAAACUGAAUACCCCAUGCAAACUAUUCUGCCAUAGCAAUUAUGACUCUUCUCAUAAGGCACAACAUUACAGCUCUGCACUCCACUGCCAGUUGUUUGAAGAAAGUCUCCGGUAAUAAAGCCAACUUGUGAGGCAAAUGACUAAUUAAAUUCACUAGUAGGUUUCUUGAUAUUAUCAGCAACUGGUCCUGAGUUUUGUGUGAGAGGUGUUCCUGACACUAAAAUGGGAUUAAAAGAGGAACACAGGGCAGAAGUGGAGAAGAAAUAUUCAAAUUACCUAUAGUGAAACAAAUGACUGCUUGACUUAAGUUAGGAAGUUUAUUGAUGCAAUCAUCAUUCAGCCCCAGUUUUUUUGCAUGAGAUCCCCUUUCACAUGAAAGAACAGAAUUCAACGCUGGAGAAGGAAAUAUUUCAGUAUCCAGACGCAAUAGAAUCGCUAGGAAGGUCUGAGGUUCCUCCAACUCUAAGCCACACUGCCUGUCUCAAACUCCUUUUGAAAAUUUGAGGUUGGAUCUAGCAAUUUAAAGUUCUACUCCUCAUGCACUGCCAUGUCUCUUGAUAAGUCCAGGUCCUCAGUCAAUUUGGGAUCCAUGGGCCAUUCAGAAGUGUGUUUCUCACCAACUUUGCACCAUUCUGACAAUAAGAAACCAGAUCUAGGCAGGACAAUUCCAAGUUUGACAAAUACUCCUCAAGUUUAGCCAGUACUAGAUAUGUGGUCUUUGUUGCCAAUUCAUAACAGAAAUUUGAAUAUUGGCUUUCAUAGGGAAUUCAAAACCUCAGCAACACUAGACUAAGUGUGACAUAAUGGAUGUCCAACUCCACGUCAAGAUCCAGAAUUCCAUUUUCAUCAACAUAAACAGUAAAGCAUCUAAGUGUGUCUUCUGAGCGAAAGGACAUUAGCACAAGACAUUCUAUAGUUUUUAGAUAUGGACAUGCAGUUUCCACGCAAUUUAAAGGAUUGGAAAGAGGAACAAUAUCUGUGCAACUAAAGAAGUACUGAGAAAAAAAAAAAUUAUUUAGAGGACACUCACGCUAGUCAAGGUAUCAUAUCGUUCACAAUCAAGUCCCACUAUUUUGCCAACAGGGAUGACAAUCUUACACAACCUGAAUUCCAAACUUUCAGUUAUCAGGUCAAAAACAAUGGGCACUAUAACUUAAACAAACAGUUUUUGCUUCUCCAAUGGCUGUUUCAGCAAGACUCUAGCAGUCUCAGAGCAUGAUUUGAAUUAUGGAAAAGACUAUGCCAGUAUCACCAUUCCACCAGGGUGAUAGAUGGCUUGUUUGGUGAUGGAAACAGUUCUGCGCUGAUAAUGAAGUGAUUGAUUAUGCUUUCUCUGCUCAUACCAGAAUGCUUAUUCUUCAGUCAUCUAGCAUUUUGAAACCCACAUUCCUGAUCAUGCUGAACAAAUAAGUCAAUGAAACUAUACCCACACCUUGCAUGCAUCUACAAAUCUCAACCAGAAAUCAUACCUUUCAUCUCUGUAGGAAUUGCAACAUCAGCUAUCCUAAUUCUUAAAGCACCACCAAUUCCAGAAAAUGAAGGACUAUGUAUAAUUUUCUACAAUAAUAUAUGGAGAAAAUGAAAAACGCACCCGACUUUGUUUAAUUUUGCCAUUUUCCUCUGAAGCUUUUGGAUCCUCAAACACACCACACACAUUCGUAGCAUAUUAUUCACUUCGGGAUCUUCCAACUUUGUUUGAUUUUGUUAUUUUUCCUUUAAAACUUUUGGAUUCUCGAGCACACAACACAAAUUCCUAGCAUAUUAUUAACUCAUUCUGCCUCAUUUCAAGUUGUGUUAUUACCAUUAACACACAAGUUCAUAUAUUACAGAGAGGAAUUUUUACAAAGGCUUUUGCUAAGCUAAGGGGAGGUCUUCAAGAGAGGGACAAUUUGAUAGCAAAUGCACUCCAGAAUAGUGUGGUUUUCCAACAAAAUACAACAAAUUAUUAGAAGUUUCCACAACAAAAAAAGGUUUUUUGUGGGCUACUGUUUUUCUUAAGUCCAUAGUAAGCACAUGUAUCUGCCUUAACCAAAAGGAGAGUUAGAAGCCUAAGAUGGAAGGACUAAACAAUGUUCAACACACAUGGGCCAACAAUGCAAUAGAUAUGAGUUGAGAAGGAAGCUUGGCAAGUUUGGUCCAAUUUGUAACAUAUAUACAGGCUGAGAGUGUGGCUUGGCACACCUAUGCAGUGUGUGGACUGAGUAAGGGGGGCUUGGCACACCUAUGCAAUGUGUGGACUGAGUAAGGGGGCUUGGAACACAUAGCUCUAGCACUUGAUAUUAGUGAAAAACCAAGCAAAGAAUUGCUCACACAAUAAGAGUGUGACACCUUGGCAUUGGGGAAGCCGAAGAAAGAUGUUCGUGCAUCAUAAGAAUGACACCUGGCAUUAGAUGUGGAACACAUGGUGGGCUACAAGACAUGUGCACAGACCCAACAAGUCUCUAAAGUGCUAGAACAUGUGGCAGGGUCUAAAGUCUACAAUGAGCAAGGUUAUAGGGCAUGAGCAAGAGCCAUGAAGAGCAACUAUUGUGACAUGUGGCAAUGUCAAAGGACAUGAGCUUAACUACCUACCCUGUGCAUAUGCCACAGGCUGGAAAACUAUUGAGGUUGUAGAUAGUUUGUGGAUUGAUUCCUAACUAGUUGCCUAUAAAGUGUGCAAAAACCAAGGUUAUAUAUAGUGUUAGUAGGCUGAUUCCUAGAUGUGGUCGUAACUAGAGGCCUGUAAAGCAUGCAAAACCAGGUCAUUCUUAGCAUAAACUAACAAAGAGGGUUGUGGAAGCCUUGCUUGGAGAAGGCCUUAGCCCAUUUUCUUGAGUUGUCAUGUUGCCUCGUUGUUGUGUGAAUUUUGUGGAGCUUGGACAAAGUUGGCUUAGAAGGCUUCCAAGUGUUGUACAUUGCAUUAGUUUUCCUUAUUAAUUUUCGUAUUGUUGUGUUGUCUUGUUGGUGUGUGAAUUUCGUGGGGUUUGAAAAGAGUUGGCUUAAAGGGGUUCUAAGUGUCACACAUCACAAAAAAAGGUUUCUCCUAAGUUUCAAUAUGUAGUUGUGGAGAAGUUGGGAAGCAAACAAGCAAGGCAAUUGCUAUGCGCAAGUUUCAAAAUGCUAGUUGUUGAGAAGUUGGUAAUGGGAAGGAUGGAUGUACCAUCACUCUAACUCUUUGCUACAACAUUCAAUUCAUUAUCAAUUCCUUCAAUAGUCUUCUCUAUAUGUUCUUGAUUUCUCAUUUCCCAAAAUUCGAGCACCACACUUAUAGGAUUUUGAAGAUUUUAUAGUGUGUCAAUUCACUUCCACACAUGCCAUUUUGUAUUGUGAUGGACAAGUUUCUCUUGUUCAAUGAUUGUCUCUAAACAAUUUAUAAUGAUUUCACUAUAUGGUAGUAGCUCUAGCUAGAUCAAAAAUGUGUAAAAACAAGAAACUACAAUAGUAUAGUGGAACCAAGUGUUGUCUAAUGGGAUGGUUAAGGUUUUAGACAUUUGAUAAAGAAAUGAUGUGAAUUGAUGAGAUGAUGAUGAUCAAAUGAUGAGGUAAAGAAAAAAUGUAGCUAAAAGUUGAUAAAAUUGAUUGACAUCGAAGAAAUAAAAUUUGGCCAAAAUUGAAAUAAAAUCUAGCAAACGAAAAAUUCUAGGAUUUGGAGUUCACUAGAGAUUAAUAACUAUAAUGAAUGGGUCAUAAUGAUCUGCUCUUCAUCAAAUUACGUUAUAGACCUUCAAAUCUUAUCUAAAUCAGCAUUUGAUUCAACUUUAGGUCUAGGUCAAAUUCAUCAUCAAAUUAGGCUUCUUAGUUGCAUUAGUGUUGUUAAAAGCAAAAGGCAAGGCAAUAGGGCUCAUUUUAGCCUAAGACGAAAAACAAGGCAAUAGUCUGACUAUAGUGAGGUGAUAAAAAAUAUACAUAUAUUUACCUAUUCUAUACUUAACCAAUAUAAGUGUUGUUUUCAACAAUCAACACUGUUAAUUUUUUAUCCCUCAUGGUGUUUUCUAAUAUUAACAAAAUAGUAAUAAUUAUUCAAAGUGUUAAAUAUUAUAUCCCACAUUAUAAGAAUAUCAUAUUGUUUAGAGAAAUUCAUCCUGUUUAAAAUGCAUAUUCUAAUUUUCUAAACAUCUAAAAAUAAAAUAAAAAUAAAAGACAAAAUAAGAUAAAUGAACAUCCUUAAGAAGUUUUGGACAUCAUUAUCAUAAUCAUCAUUGAAAUUAAAAUUAUCAUCACUUCCAUCAAGACUAGAUUGAUAGCCCUCUAUCUCAAUAUCACUAUGAUUGAUGAUAUAAUAUUUCAUCUUAUACUUUGUUUAAUAUAAUAUUAGAUUGGAUUAAAUUACAAUCUAAAUAUGUUUAACCUUAACCCAUGGUCAAAGGAGACCGCCUCUAUGCCUUGCAUCAGAUCCCAAAGCGAUCACCUAGGCAUCGGACUUUUGAAGUCAACUUGCAUGGGUCUUCAAGAGGGGACUUAUAUAUGCAACGCUUGUCCUGGUGGCCUAGGCAACCUUGGAGAUCACCUUUAAUAACAUCGAGUUGCAUUGAUCAAUCUUCACAAUUAGCAUAAUUCAUCUUAAAUCCUCUUCCAAUGAAUCUUAUAAUGAAACUAUAGAAUCUCACCAAAUAUAACAUUAAGCAUUCGAUGAAUCGACCAAGGCUUCACUAUAUUCCCUAUUUACAAUAAGUAAAAGAAAAUAUUAUUUUAAAUCAUUAUUCAACCAAUUCGACCAAAAAUACCUUCAACUUUUAGCUUCAAAUGACUAAUUCACCACAGAUGUUGACUUUAGAUCCUUCUUCCUCCAAGAAAAAUGAAAAUUAGUCACUUAUGUUUGGAGAGUUGCUUUCACAAAGCAUGUUUGGCUCUCAAGAAAAUAAAAGAAAAUUUGUAUUUUUCCAAAUGAAAAUUACAAUGAUCUCUCCUAUAAAAAAAAUGGCCAAAAGUUCCUAAAUGAGAAUUUUCAACUCCUAUUUAUAGGCAAAUUACAAUGAUAGACAGUUGUCAAUAUCUUAAAGCCUUCCAGAAUCAUUUAAUUUUGCCACCUUAGCAUUGGAAGAAUCUCUCAAGUUCAAAACUGAGGAAUUAAUGCCUGGUUGUAGCCUUCUCACAUGGGCAUUCAAAGAUGCAUGGAGAAUUUCAGCUCAGAGAUGCGGAGAAUUGAUGGAACUGGCAUGGGUACUCUUAACAUACGCAUAGCUACGCAAAGGAGGCAUGAAAUUGCAGCUUCGUUGCAUCAGCCUGGUGGGGCUUGAAGGGGUAUGCAACACUUUGCAUCAGUUUUCAAAAAAUGCAUAAAAUUGCAACUGAAUUUCAGCUCUGUGAAUGUUUUGCAUAGGUGGGCAAGCAGGGCACCAAUGCUGCCAUUUUUCAUGCUUGCUGUGUCUCUUUGCACAGGUAUUUGAGCAGCUCGCAUGAGCAUUCAAAGCUUACCACUCCACCUCCAAAUGCACUGCAACAAAGCCUAAAACAGGCUCUUCUUCCUUUGAUCAUGCCAAGCACCUCAUAUAAGCUUCCAACUACAAGAUUUUCAUCCUCAAACAACUUUAUAUGCAUGUAAUUUCCAAUCCAAAUUGAAUUCCCUAUCUCCUUCCAAAAAUCAAUCUUUAAAUUCUCUCCAAAACCCUUAAACUCAUCAUCCCCUGCCAUAAUCACCCUUAGGACUCUCCAAAUACCUCCCAAAGGCAUCACAAACGUCCAUGGAAUAAAAUUCAAGCUUGAAUGCCAUUUCAAGCAUAAAUCAGGCUUUACACAAGCUGUCCAUAAGCAUAGCAGCCUUAAUCAUCAUCUUUCUUCUUCCAAAUGCAGCUUCGAAUGGGAAUUCUAAGGUAACAUGAGUCUCCUUGAAUAGCCAUGAGAAAAUGGCUCAUUAAUUCCCCAAAACAUGCAGCUAUGGUGUCAUUAGAUUGGCUAUUUGAGCCAAACAUCUCACUGUCGCAUAAGUGUUUGAAGUUAGCAAAGUAUUGGGCUCUUGCAUAUUCUGAUAAGUUCGGAAUGGCCAUGCGAAAAUAGCAUUGAUAUUCACAUAGGCAUUCAAAGAAAGGCAGAGUGGUCAAUUUCACCUUCAUCCUUCCUUUGCAUAGAUAUACAAAUUCAACUUUGUCUUCCUCAAAUACACUUUUAAAUCCCCAUUCCACAAUGCCAAGACCAUUCAAAUGUUGUCACCACUUGAAUUGGCAUCCAAUUAUACUAUUUGCAACUUCACAAACAUCUUCUAUCCUGUCAUCCAUCCAUAGUCUGAAAUUGCAAUAAACAUAGCUACAUUGAUCUUCAAAACAUUUACAAGCUGUCAUUGCCAUUCAUGUAUCAUCAUUUCUCUCCCUUCCCUCAAGGCAUUCCACCACAAGAUAGCUCCUAACAUUUCUCCCAGAUUUUCACAUUGAAAGCUCAUCCAUUCACCAUCUUCCACAUCCUUAUUCCUCACCAACUUCACUCCUAUUCUUCACAAGUAUGUUCAUCUCCCUUCUUUGCACCAGUUGGCAUCAAUUGCACCUUAAAACCAACUCCACAACUCAAAAGAAUUGUUAGCAAUUAUUGUAAGUGUGCAAACAUGUUAAUUGAGUGUUUAAGAAAUGAUCACCACCCAAAGGUAUGAAAUAUACAUCAAUUACCACCAACAUUAUGCACUUUUCCAGUAGUAAUCAUUCAAAUACAUGCUUCUACAUCUUCUACACCUUUAUUUUACUCAGGUUGGAAACACUAUUGUUCAUUUUGAAUUAACAAGCUGUUUACCUAGUAACCUAAGUGGAAUUCAAAUGCAGAAGAGUGCUGAAGAAACUGACCACAGAGAAAGACAUACAAAAACCUCAAAGGAGCUACAGGUUCUAUUAGAAUGCAUUUUUAAUAUUCCUGCUUCUCCAUAACAGGGAGAAAAAGGCAGUGUAGAAAUACAGAAACAGAUAAAGUUUAAAAGGGAAGACUAGAAUCUCAUUUCCUGAUAUUUUUAGAACAUAAUAAAAUGACUCAACCAUCAAAAUGUCACCUAUUUGAGAAAACUUCUCUCUUUGUUGAUCCAGCUGUGAGGAAAACAUAAGCAAAUAAAACACCUACAUCCCAUCUAAUCACAAACAUGAUAUAAUAAAUCUAAAAUACUAGGCAACAUCCAAAAUCACAAAUUCAUUUAAGGUUUUAGGUGACAUCCAAAAUCACAAGUUCAUUAAGGUUUUAGGCAGCAUCCAAAAUCACAAGGAACAAAGAACAUACCAUGAUUUUUCUCUGAAACUUCCAAAAAUAAUUAUAGGCAUCAAAUUUUGGCCCAAUCCUAUAAGUAAAAUUCUUAUAAAAUCAGAAAACAAUACAUGGUCAAUAAUAAACACAAUUGAUCUUCCAGCCUGACUGAACUAUUUGUAGGAAACUGCUUACCUCAAGAAGUAUCUUUGCUUUCUUCUACAAUUUGGCACCCAUUUCCUCUUUCUCAGGCUUCCUUAAAGCGAAGGUUGAUUCCCUUUACUCUCUUCUGAUGACGAAUUG
RNAcentral lists this long non-coding RNA (10564 nucleotides) under Vitis vinifera (wine grape). Its description in RNAcentral is "long non-coding RNA (VVIN_LNC007505)". Lineage: Eukaryota; Viridiplantae; Streptophyta; Magnoliopsida; Vitales; Vitaceae. The record is from RNAcentral.